RNAcentral lists this long non-coding RNA (4737 nucleotides) under Homo sapiens (human). Its description in RNAcentral is "HSALNT0354208". The record is from RNAcentral. Lineage: Eukaryota; Metazoa; Chordata; Mammalia; Primates; Hominidae.
CCAAAAAAAAAAAAAAAAGAUGUUGCUGAAAUGUUUUAAUCUUUGCCAAUUACUGAAAUAGUGAUUAUUUGCUCAAUAAAACUAUGUUUUAUCUGUUCUCUUCUAGACUAUAAUUUCAUGUGUGUGAAAUUCAAGGGGAAAAAGGAAACAAUACAUAAUCCAGUCUGUAGCUUCUCAUGGAUCGUGCAAAGCACCACCAGGACAGACAUCUCAAGCACAUUUGAAGAGCUCCUGUUUCCUAAGUAAGACAGCAGCAGCAAGACUGCAAUCAUUUCUGGGAAGGCAGUAUCAUCAUAAUGCAAUAUUAGCUACUGUGAUCUUCUAUCAUUUCCUUCCUGGAGAGUUAUGACUGUGGCAUUGAAGAUUUAAGACCUACAGCCUCAACACUACUUACUACAAAUCUCUCACAAAGCUGCUGCAAUAAAUCUCGUGGAGGAAAGUCAUUGCAUAAAAAAAUCCUCAACUCCAGGGAGUUGGCCAUUUAUUUUCCUAGAAAAGGGGCUGUGAUGAGAGACACUCCAUGCUCCUUUAACUCCAUGGAACAGAACCCAACAAAACAUUCAUCAUGGAAAGUUGACUGAUGGGCCCAGUGAGACUAGCUGGGGAAGGAAGAUGGAAAGAGAAGUGCCCCAUCCAAGGCCUGCUCCUUUUCCUAGCUGCAGCCCGGAGGGAUUUCCUCUUAGCUUGAGGAUUGACUUUCCAUAGAAUCAGCACCACUGAGGGUAAGCUUCCCUGAAGACAAACUCUGUCAUUGGAGAGCUCAGCCAGGGGUCUAAAACUGGACCCUAUGGACUCCACAGAUUUAUUUAGUCUGCACAGUGUUUAAAAAUGUUUUUAGUUAGGGCCAGGCAUGGUGGCUCCCACCUGUAAUCCCAGCACUUUGAGAGGCCGAGGUGGGUGGAUCACCUAAGGUCAGGAGUUUGAGACCAGCCUGCCUGACAUGGCAAAACCCAGUCUCUACUAAAAAUACAAAAAUUAGCUGGGCAUGGUUGCUCAGGCCUGUAAUCUCAGAUACUUGGGAGGCUGAGGCACAAGAAUCACUUGAACCUGGGAGGCGGAGGUUGCAGUGAGCCAAGAUCGCACCAUUGCACUCCAGCUUGGGUGACAAGAGUGAAACUCCAUCUCAAAAAAAAAAAAAAAAGUUUCUAGUUAGUUCCCAACAUAAAAAAUUAACAAUUUUGCAAAGAAAGAUAAAAUCCAGAUUUUGGGCUCCCCUAAACAAAUUGGGAUAUCUGAAAACAGUGGGCCACAUUCCUACAUUCCUGCCCCUGUUGACAGUAUGCGCCUGCUCUAAUUUUACUUCCCCUUUUACCCUAACUGCCCUGUAGGGAAUGGAGUUUGCAAUCCCCAUACUAAUCCAUCACCCUGCAGGUCCAUUCCCCUCCUCCCUGACCUCUGUUCUGAUAAGGGGUGAGAGAAUGAACCCCCAUAUGUAUUGAAUGGAAAAUACAUGUAUUGGCCAGGCACAGCGGCUCACACUUGUAAUCCCAGCACUUUGGGAGGCCAAGAUGGGCAGAUCACCUGAGGUCAGGAGUUCAAGACCAGCCUGGCCAAUAUGGCGAAACCGUGUUUCUACUAAAAAUAAUUUAAAAACAAAAUUAGCCAGACAUGAUGGCAGGCGCCUAUAAUCCCAACUACUCAGGAGGCUGGGGCAGGAGAAUCGUUUGAACCCAGGAGGCGGAGGCUGCAGUGAGCCAAGAUCGCACCAUGGCACACCAGCCUGGGCAACAAGACUGAAACUCCAUCUCAAAAAAAAUAAAAAUAAAAAUACAUGUAUUGAUGAGAAAAUACAACUGACUAAUCCCACCUAAACCAUGACCUCAUAUAAAUUCAGAAGAUCUUUCUAACAUGGCAGGGAGGCAGCCUAGUAUAAAGCAAAGAGCACAUGCUUUGCGAAUGUAAACCAAAAAUAAAAGUUGAAGGCCCUCCUCACCAUAUGAAUGGUCUCCUUCCUUUGCCAGGGCACCCUAAAAUUUAACUGGUUGAGGCCAUGAUGGGUAGUAGGGGUUGGACAUGCCUCAUUAUACCCUUCCAGCAGUAACAUCAACACAGACUUUAAGUCUGAUAAGAAACAUUUACAGUCUAUUUUCUCUAAAGCCUGCUACUUGGAGAUAUAAAACCUAGGUCUCCACAACCCCUAUUGUAACCCAGCCAUUUCUUUCUAAUGAUAAUAAGUCUUUCAACCAAUUGCCAAUCAGAAUAUGUUUAAAUCUUCCUAUGACCUAGAAGCACCCCACUCUUUGAGUUGUCCCACCCUUCCAGAUUGAACCAAUGUAAAUGGUUCAAUUGAUUGAUGUGUUAUAUCUCCCUAAAGUGUAUAAAAGGAAGCUGUACCUCAACCAUCUUGGGCACGCGUCUUCAGGAACUCCUGAGUCUGUGUCACAGGUGUGUCCUUAACCUUGGCAAAGUAAACUUUCCAUUACUUAUAAUGGCAAAAACUGCAAUUACUUUUGCACCAACCUAAUAAAUGGAUUGAGACUUGCCUCAGAUACUUAUUGGUUUAUACCUAGAGGCAGACCUUGGCUCAAAUCCCAUCUCUCCCUUACUCUGGGAUAUUGUCCAACUUGCUCAGCCUCUUGAAACCUACUUUGCUUACAGCAAAAUGGGUAUAAGGGGAUCUUUCACCCAAGCCUUUUGUGAGGACUAAAUGUGGUAAUGGACAUUAAGUGCCAGACCCCUUGAAUGUGCCAUCUUCUCUCAGCUUCUAUAAUGUCAUGCUGUCAGUUCCCUCCUUUUCUUUUUUUCUUUUCUUUUCUUUUUUUUUUUUUUUUUUGAGACGGAGUCUUGCUCUGUCCCCCAGGCUGGAGUGCAGUGGCACGAUCUCGGCUCACUGCAAGCUCCGCCUCCCGGGUUCACGCCAUUCUCCUGCCUCAGCCUUCCGAGUAGCUGGGACUACAGGCGUCCGUCACCGCGCCUGGCUAAUUGUUUUUGUAUUUUUCUUAGAGACUGGGUUUCACAGUGGUCUCGAUCUCCUGACCUCGUGGUCCGCCCGCCUCGGCCUCCCAAAGUGCUGGGAUUACAGGUGUGAGCCACCGCGCCCAGCCUAGUUCCCUCCUUUUCAUGGCUUCUUUGCUUCAUCUUUUCUGUCUCCUUUGAAGGUAUGCCUUCCUGGAAUAUACCAUAAAUGUCAGUGUUCCUCAGGAUUCUAUCUUGACCUGACUCCCCCGACCCAACUGCUAGCUUUUCCCUCUGUCUAAUGCUGGUACAGAUACAUAAACUGAUAGGUAGAUUACAACACAAUUCGAUUUUCUGUUUUGCUUUUUUUUUUGGCUUAUUAUUACAUAAACUUUUUUUCAUUGCUGCCAUACAUUCUUCAAAAUAAACACUUCGGGGGGCGAGCUGGCCCAGCACUUUGGGAGGCCAAGGAGGUGGAUCACUUCAGGUCAGGAGUUCGAGACCAGCCUGACCAACAUGGUGAAACCCCCAUCUCUACUAAAAAUACAAAAAUUAGCCGGGUGUUGGUGCAAGCACCUGUAAUCUCAACUGCUCGGGAGGCUGAGGCAUGAAAAUCACUUGAACCCGCGAGGCAGAGGUUGCAGUGAGCCAAUAUAGUACCACUGUACUCCAGCCUGGGCAACAGAGCUGCGAGACCUUGUCUCAAACAAAACAAAACAAAACAAAAUAAACACUUCAUGGCUGAACAAUAUGCCAUUUCCUGAAUAGAUUGUAAUUUACCUAAUCAUUUCUCUAAUAGUGGACACUUAGGUUGUUCUAAUUUUGAAAGGCAGGAAUACCAAGAAUGUUUUCUUGCACAUGGCAGAUUAUUUCUCAGUAUAGGCUCAUCCUUUCGAGUAUAUGGCAUCUUUUCUUCUUUCCCUCCUCUCUCUCCUCAGAAGUACUCAAGGCCCCGGAGAUACUUUGGCUGUAUCCCCACCAAUCUCAUCUUGAAUUGUAGCUCCCAUGAUUCCCAUGUAUCCUGAGAGGGACCCAGUGGGAGGUAAUUGAAUCAUGGGGGCAGGUCUUUCCCGUGCUGUUCUAGAGAUAGUGAAUGAGUCUCACAAGAUCUGAUGGUUUUAUAAAGGGCGGUUCCCCUACACAAGUUCUCUCUUGCCUGCCACUUUGCUCCUCAUUUGCUCUCUGCCAUGACUGUGAGCCCUCCCCAGCCAUAUGCAACUGUGAGUCAAUUAAACCUCUUUUCUUAAUAAAUUACCCAGUCUCUGGUAUGUCUGUAUUAGCAGUGUGAGACAGACUAAUACAGCCCUUAUGUGUCCAGAAGUACUGACUUUCUUGGAUGAUACCUUAAGUAAAGCCUAAUAAAGCUUUAGUGACUGAUACAUUUUUAAAAAUGAAGUAAUUAUUUAUGUGUAAUGAGACAAAUUAUUUAUUUCAGAGUGUUAUUUGCCUUACUCUCUUCCCCCAGCAAAAGGAGUCCUCAAGUGGCCAGCCACAUUUUCUCAUUUCUCCUUUCUUCAAAAACUGAUGGGAUCUUGCUUGAUGAAGUCACAUAACAAGUGAAUACAGCAAAGAGAGAGGGAAGGGGGAGGAAAUAGCCGUUGGGAAUGGAGUGUUGUUGGAUGAGCUUUGUGAAGUGUGGGAAGAGAAAGAUACUAGAGGAGACCGAGACAAAUGGAUAGGUGAAGAAACAGAAUUUUAGUAAGUGGUGCUGUAUGCUAUAUAUGUGGAUUUGCCUCAAAGUUUUAAAAAAUGGCAAGCAGAAAUGGAAUUCUUUUUUAAUAAUCACCUUUGGUUAUUGUAUAAUGUUAUUUGAUUAUAAUAUAGUUUUGAGAUUGAUCGACA